CCCUUUCUGGUUGAUCCCGGCGGAGGCCACUGCUAUCGGAGUUCGAUUAAGCCAUGCGAGUCGAGAGGUGUAAGACCUCGGCAUACUGCUCAGUAACACGUGGACAACCUACCCUAAGGAGGGGGAUAACCCCGGGAAACUGGGGAUAAUACCCCAUAGACUAUGGAUGCUGGAAUGCUCUGUAGUUGAAAGGUCCGCCGCCUCAGGAUGGGUCUGCGGCCGAUUAGGUUGUUGUUGGGGUAACGGCCCAACAAGCCUGUAAUCGGUACGGGUUGUGGGAGCAAGAGCCCGGAGAUGGAUUCUGAGACACGAAUCCAGGCCCUACGGGGCGCAGCAGGCGCGAAAACUUUACAAUGCGAGCAAUCGUGAUAAGGGAACUCCGAGUGCCCGUAAAAUCGGGCUGUCCGCCAGUGUAAAUAACUGGUGAAGAAAGGGCCGGGCAAGACCGGUGCCAGCCGCCGCGGUAAUACCGGCGGCUCGAGUGGUGGCCACUAUUACUGGGCUUAAAGCGUUCGUAGCUGGUCUGUUAAGUCUCUGGGGAAAUCUUCCGGCUUAACCGGAAGGCGUCUCAGGGAUACUGACAGACUAGGGACCGGAAGAGGUGAGAGGUACUCCAGGGGUAGGAGUGAAAUCCUGUAAUCCUUGGGGGACCACCUGUGGCGAAGGCGUCUCACCAGGACGGCUCCGACAGUGAGGAACGAAAGCUGGGGGAGCAAACCGGAUUAGAUACCCGGGUAGUCCCAGCUGUAAACGAUGCGCGUUAGGUGUAUCGGUGACCACGAGUCACCGAGGUGCCGAAGAGAAAUCGUGAAACGCGCCGCCUGGGAAGUACGGUCGCAAGGCUGAAACUUAAAGGAAUUGGCGGGGGAGCACCACAACGGGUGGAGCCUGCGGUUUAAUCGGACUCAACGCCGGGAAACUCACCGGAUAAGACAGCUGAAUGAUUGCCGGGCUGAAGACUCUGCAUGACUAGCUGAGAGGAGGUGCAUGGCCGUCGUCAGUUCGUACUGUGAAGCAUCCUGUUAAGUCAGGCAACGAGCGAGACCCAAA
Molecule: ribosomal RNA, 1050 nt
Filed under: uncultured archaeon
Lineage: Archaea
Description: bacterial SSU rRNA
Rfam family: Archaeal small subunit ribosomal RNA
Source: RNAcentral